This is an RNA transcript of Eptesicus fuscus (big brown bat), 3059 nucleotides long. It is a transcript of the gene named profilin 2, with no coding region annotated. The record is from RefSeq and is a predicted model, not a curated record. The transcript is spliced from 5 exons. NCBI's taxonomy places the organism in Eukaryota, Metazoa, Chordata, Mammalia, Chiroptera, Vespertilionidae.
UGGCCGCGGGGAAGGGGCGCGCCUCGGAGAGGACCGGCCGCCGCCUCCGGCCCCGCCGCUCCCCAGCUUCCCGGCGCCGGUUAGUCAGCCCCGCGGUGCGGGCGGGCGCCGGGCCGCGCGCCUCUCGUCCGGGCCCUCGCCGCCGUCCCCGCGACCUCCCCCCGCAGUUCCCGGGGAGGGGGGCGGUCGGUGCCUGCGCAGAGCCGCCUCCUCCCCGCCCCCGCCCCGCCUCCCCUCCCCCCGCGCCUGCCGCCGCCGCUGCGCCUGCCGCUCCUCGCCGUCCCCGCUGCAGUGCGAAGGGCUCGAAGAUGGCCGGUUGGCAGAGCUACGUGGAUAACCUGAUGUGCGAUGGCUGCUGCCAGGAGGCCGCCAUUGUCGGCUACUGCGACGCCAAAUACGUGUGGGCCGCCACGGCCGGGGGCGUCUUCCAGAGCAUUACGCCAGUAGAAAUAGAUAUGAUUGUAGGAAAAGAUCGGGAAGGUUUCUUUACCAACGGUUUGACUCUUGGUGCGAAGAAGUGCUCAGUGAUCAGAGACAGUCUGUAUGUGGAUGGUGACUGCACAAUGGACAUCCGGACAAAGAGUCAAGGUGGGGAGCCAACAUACAACGUUGCAGUGGGCAGAGCUGGCCGAGCCACAGCACUAUUUUGAAGAUGACAGGUCAAGAUUCAAAGGUGUCGUUUUUGGUCAUGGACCAAAGUGAAGCCUAGUUGCUCUGGAGAGAAAUAAUUCGGAUGACCUUGGACUGGUGAUGAAGUGGUAAAAUAUAAGUUAGAAUGCCUGGGUUCCCAUCCUGAUCAUGUUAUGUAUUACCUAUGUAUUCUUGUGCAAGACGCUUACCAUCUAUAUGUUUCAGCAUUCUCAAAGAAAAACAUUUUAACUAUGUUUUAGGACUGUUGUGGAUUAAAAGGGAUAAUGCAAGUAGAGUACUUUACAUAGUGUUUGGUGCAUAUACAGCCUCUUAACCAAUCACCACCUGAUGAAACUGGCCCAAUGGAUAUGCUGGCAUAUGACAUGAUACACUGAAGGCUGUGGCUAGGAGGCCCAGCAGAUGAACUGUAUGCUUACAAGGAAUGAGCAGCAGCGGCCACUGAACCUUGAACCGUACGAACCAGGGGUUCUCAACUGGGGAUGAUUCUGCCCUCCGAGGGACAUUUGGUGACAUCUGAAGACUUUUCAAAAUUAGGAGCUGGUGCUGCUGACAUCUAGUAGGCCACUAGAAUAUUGGUGUACACUCUUCCACAGCCCACUUCAACAACCUCAGAUUUAUAUGUAUCCUUGAUACUUGGGUGUUCUAAUGUAGUAAUUAUUUUUCUUUUCCUUCAUGUAAGUGUGUUUAAACAAAAACCUUGAGCAGCCUCAGGUACACUUGGGGUUUAAAGUGGAGGCAUUAGGCCUACAUUACUUCGGCAUAAAGCAGGAUUUCUUGUAGAUGACUACAUUGGGCUGUCAUUACAACUCUCAAUAAAAAAAAAUAUUAUAUAUAUAUAUAACUUUUAGAAAACAAUCAUACUAUUAUCACAUGUAACAAAACACUAAUUUCGUAAUAUCAUCCAACACCCAAGGCAUAUUCAAAUUUCCUCAGUUGUCUCAAACCUGUAUUUUUAAAGAUAAAUUUCCUCUAUUGUCUCAAACCUGUCUUUUUACAGAUGAUUUAUUCAAACUAGUAUCCAAACAUUGCAUCUGAUGUUUAUAGUGUUUGGGUAAUGAUUUGUAAAUCUCUUAAUCUAACAAGUCUUGCCCCCUUUAUAUACUUGUGAAAGAAACUGGAUGGCUUGUCCUGUAACGGUAUUUACAUUUUGGAUGUGGUGAUUGCACACAUGAUUGUUUUUUAAGAUGGCUACGGUACUACAUUAAUCAUUCCAUAUUCAGACCAAAACUUCUACUGGCUCAAUACUACCGUUAUGCAAAUUAGGGAAAAAGCAAUACUUCUUCAAGGCACUUUAUUGCUAUCGGCCAAAAAAUAAUGAUCACAAAUACAAAAAUCUCUGAUGAAGAAGAAUGAAUGCUAACUUCCCAGAGCUAUGCAGUGUACAAUGUGUGAUUGUAUGUUGCCACCUGAACUCAGAAUUCUUGGUAAGGCAACUUCCCACAAGUAAGAAAAAGUAGGUGGGAUUCCUUUUUGGCAAACUGGAUUACUUCAAUCCUUAAACUGAAGAGGCAUAAAGAACAUCAGUUUUCAACACUGUCAUUAUCCUCAGUGGUGAGCCUAACAGGCUUUUCAUACUCUAAGACUGUGUAGCCCCAAGCAUCUUGACUAAGGAAAAAACAAACAAACAAAACAAGUGUAACAUUUAGGCAAAAGAAUAACUUUAAAAAAAUUAAAAUGGUCUCCAAUUCUAUGUUUUGAUUUUAUCCUUUCUAUAGUUAUGAUAAAAAGUAGACUUCUUCACACAAUACAACUAUCAAAAUGUGUUUAUCUGCCCCUUUUAACAGGAAAUCCAUCCAUUAAUGAUUGGUUCUAAAUUUCUUAUAUUUUGGCGUACAAUGGAAUAAUCAUAGGUAUGCUGAGAAUAAAGUUUUAUACUGUCGAACCAUUUGUGAAAAUUAAAAACUAUCUACUGUCAAUGGAUACAAAAGAAGAUAUUUUAGCAAAGGUUUGAACUCUGACAGCUGAUGGUUAGUUUUAAUAUUUUUAGGACCAGUGUAACUGAACUUAAAUGGUUUGUGAUUUAACUACAAUUUGGAGCAAUGAGCAAAUAUCUGAGUUCCUACUAAGUGCCAUGCUAAGUAUGAAUGUUACUUGGAAACUAAAAAUAAUGUAAUUAUUCAAAGAAAAAUAUCUUUAAGAUGUAGACUAAUAAAUAUGUGAGGCCUAUCUCAUUUUAUGUAAUAGGAAUUCGCAUAAAGAUACAGGUUUCCUUUGAUAUAUAUUCACUAUUGCAUCCCCAAUGUUUAGGUAGAACAUUAUGUCUAGAACACAGCAAGUUCCCAAUAUCUAUUUACUGAAUGCAUAAACAGAUGUUUAAAUCUGAAAUUUACUGUGUAAGCUAACAUAUAAGUUACUUAAGGACGGUAUUUUUAAAAUAUAUUUUUAAAGCAGUCUGUAUAAAUCAGUAA